CUCUUGUCCUCUGAACUGCUCUGUGCAAGUGGAAGAACUAAAGCUGUUAGUGAGCUUGAGUGUGAAAUUUGAUUAUCACCACGUGGUUAUCUAUUAUGUUCGAUAUUUCAUCUCAUUGUUAAACAAAGGAAGUGUCAAAAUCAAGUUUCAAAUUUUAAGAGUUAUUCUGUGUUUGUCAAAAAACCAAGCCAAUACAAGAGAACUGAUCAGUGCUGAGGUAAUGUCCUCACUGGUUGCUCACUUUCACAAGAAUGAGUCAAAGGCUAAUAUUCUUCAUAUCAUUGAAAUAUUUGAGAAUAUAAAUUUCCAAUUCAAAAAAAGGGCAAAGCUAUUUACUAAGGAAAUGUUCACUAAAUCUGAACUUAUUUCCAUAUUCCGGGAGGCAAAAGAGUUUGACCAGAAACUCCAAGACUUAACAGACCACAGUGACCCUGAUGUAAGAGAUAAAGUUAUCCGAUUAAUACUCAAACUCUAAAUAGCUGUAUAUUCUCAUGAUGCCUUGAGCAUUUUUGUCUUUCCAGUAUAAAUUGAAUGCUUAUUAUAAUUAUAAAUUUGAUACUUAUGCUCUCUGUGUUGGGAGGCAAUUUUAUGGAUGCUAGUCAUCUUGAGAGAUUGAAUACUUGCUGGUUUUUUUUCUGUGCUAUAUAAAUUAAGGUAUUUUUGGUAUUUCUGUAUUGUAACCCAGUACUGAACCUAUUCGUUUAAAAAAGCUAUAUUUCUGUGCAUUAUAUUGAUAUAAGUGUAUUUUCGUAUUCUAUUUACGUGUUUAUAAUAAAGUUGCAUGAUAAACACAAUGAAAA
RNAcentral lists this long non-coding RNA (800 nucleotides) under Rattus norvegicus (Norway rat). RNAcentral's name for it is "long non-coding RNA NONRATT031162". Lineage: Eukaryota; Metazoa; Chordata; Mammalia; Rodentia; Muridae. The record is from RNAcentral.